Molecule: ribosomal RNA, 2902 nt
Filed under: Escherichia coli
Lineage: Bacteria; Pseudomonadati; Pseudomonadota; Gammaproteobacteria; Enterobacterales; Enterobacteriaceae
Also listed under: 1 other name
Description: bacterial LSU rRNA
Rfam family: Bacterial large subunit ribosomal RNA
Source: RNAcentral
UUAAGCGACUAAGCGUACACGGUGGAUGCCCUGGCAGUCAGAGGCGAUGAAGGACGUGCUAAUCUGCGAUAAGCGUCGGUGAGGUGAUAUGAACCGUUAUAACCGGCGAUUUCCGAAUGGGGAAACCCAGUGUGUUUCGACACACUAUCAUUAACUGAAUCCAUAGGUUAAUGAGGCGAACCGGGGGAACUGAAACAUCUAAGUACCCCGAGGAAAAGAAAUCAACCGAGAUUCCCCCAGUAGCGGCGAGCGAACGGGGAGGAGCCCAGAGCCUGAAUCAGUGUGUGUGUUAGUGGAAGCGUCUGGAAAGGCGUGCGAUACAGGGUGACAGCCCCGUACACAAAAAUGCACAUAUUGUGAGCUCGAUGAGUAGGGCGGGACACGUGGUAUCCUGUCUGAAUAUGGGGGGACCAUCCUCCAAGGCUAAAUACUCCUGACUGACCGAUAGUGAACCAGUACCGUGAGGGAAAGGCGAAAAGAACCCCGGCGAGGGGAGUGAAAAAGAACCUGAAACCGUGUACGUACAAGCAGUGGGAGCCUCUUAAUGGGGUGACUGCGUACCUUUUGUAUAAUGGGUCAGCGACUUAUAUUCUGUAGCAAGGUUAACCGAAUAGGGGAGCCGAAGGGAAACCGAGUCUUAACUGGGCGUUAAGUUGCAGGGUAUAGACCCGAAACCCGGUGAUCUAGCCAUGGGCAGGUUGAAGGUUGGGUAACACUAACUGGAGGACCGAACCGACUAAUGUUGAAAAAUUAGCGGAUGACUUGUGGCUGGGGGUGAAAGGCCAAUCAAACCGGGAGAUAGCUGGUUCUCCCCGAAAGCUAUUUAGGUAGCGCCUCGUGAAUUCAUCUCCGGGGGUAGAGCACUGUUUCGGCAAGGGGGUCAUCCCGACUUACCAACCCGAUGCAAACUGCGAAUACCGGAGAAUGUUAUCACGGGAGACACACGGCGGGUGCUAACGUCCGUCGUGAAGAGGGAAACAACCCAGACCGCCAGCUAAGGUCCCAAAGUCAUGGUUAAGUGGGAAACGAUGUGGGAAGGCCCAGACAGCCAGGAUGUUGGCUUAGAAGCAGCCAUCAUUUAAAGAAAGCGUAAUAGCUCACUGGUCGAGUCGGCCUGCGCGGAAGAUGUAACGGGGCUAAACCAUGCACCGAAGCUGCGGCAGCGACACUAUGUGUUGUUGGGUAGGGGAGCGUUCUGUAAGCCUGUGAAGGUGGCCUGUGAGGGGUGCUGGAGGUAUCAGAAGUGCGAAUGCUGACAUAAGUAACGAUAAAGCGGGUGAAAAGCCCGCUCGCCGGAAGACCAAGGGUUCCUGUCCAACGUUAAUCGGGGCAGGGUGAGUCGACUCCUAAGGCGAGGCCGAAAGGCGUAGUCGAUGGGAAACAGGUUAAUAUUCCUGUACUUGGUGUUACUGCGAAGGGGGGACGGAGAAGGCUAUGUUGGCCGGGCGACGGUUGUCCCGGUUUAAGCGUGUAGGCUGGUUUUCCAGGCAAAUCCGGAAAACCAAGGCUGAGGCGUGAUGACGAGGCACUACGGUGCUGAAGUGACAAAUGCCCUGCUUCCAGGAAAAGCCUCUAAGCAUCAGGUAACAUCAAAUCGUACCCCAAACCGACACAGGUGGUCAGGUAGAGAAUACCAAGGCGCUUGAGAGAACUCGGGUGAAGGAACUAGGCAAAAUGGUGCCGUAACUUCGGGAGAAGGCACGCUGAUAUGUAGGUGAAGCGACUUGCUCGUGGAGCUGAAAUCAGUCGAAGAUACCAGCUGGCUGCAACUGUUUAUUAAAAACACAGCACUGUGCAAACACGAAAGUGGACGUAUACGGUGUGACGCCUGCCCGGUGCCGGAAGGUUAAUUGAUGGGGUUAGCGGUAACGCGAAGCUCUUGAUCGAAGCCCCGGUAAACGGCGGCCGUAACUAUAACGGUCCUAAGGUAGCGAAAUUCCUUGUCGGGUAAGUUCCGACCUGCACGAAUGGCGUAAUGAUGGCCAGGCUGUCUCCACCCGAGACUCAGUGAAAUUGAACUCGCUGUGAAGAUGCAGUGUACCCGCGGCAAGACGGAAAGACCCCGUGAACCUUUACUAUAGCUUGACACUGAACAUUGAGCCUUGAUGUGUAGGAUAGGUGGGAGGCUUUGAAGUGUGGACGCCAGUCUGCAUGGAGCCGACCUUGAAAUACCACCCUUUAAUGUUUGAUGUUCUAACGUUGGCCCGUAAUCCGGGUUGCGGACAGUGUCUGGUGGGUAGUUUGACUGGGGCGGUCUCCUCCUAAAGAGUAACGGAGGAGCACGAAGGUUGGCUAAUCCUGGUCGGACAUCAGGAGGUUAGUGCAAUGGCAUAAGCCAGCUUGACUGCGAGCGUGACGGCGCGAGCAGGUGCGAAAGCAGGUCAUAGUGAUCCGGUGGUUCUGAAUGGAAGGGCCAUCGCUCAACGGAUAAAAGGUACUCCGGGGAUAACAGGCUGAUACCGCCCAAGAGUUCAUAUCGACGGCGGUGUUUGGCACCUCGAUGUCGGCUCAUCACAUCCUGGGGCUGAAGUAGGUCCCAAGGGUAUGGCUGUUCGCCAUUUAAAGUGGUACGCGAGCUGGGUUUAGAACGUCGUGAGACAGUUCGGUCCCUAUCUGCCGUGGGCGCUGGAGAACUGAGGGGGGCUGCUCCUAGUACGAGAGGACCGGAGUGGACGCAUCACUGGUGUUCGGGUUGUCAUGCCAAUGGCACUGCCCGGUAGCUAAAUGCGGAAGAGAUAAGUGCUGAAAGCAUCUAAGCACGAAACUUGCCCCGAGAUGAGUUCUCCCUGAGACUUAGAGUCUCCUGAAGGAACGUUGAAGACGACGACGUUGAUAGGCCGGGUGUGUAAGCGCAGCGAUGCGUUGAGCUAACCGGUACUAAUGAACCGUGAGGCUUAACCUU